GGGCCGUUAGCUCAGAUGGUAGAGCACCUGACUUUUAAUCAGGGUGUCGUGGGUUCGAGCCCCGCACGGCCCACCA
Molecule: transfer RNA, 76 nt
Filed under: Dehalococcoidia bacterium
Lineage: Bacteria; Bacillati; Chloroflexota; Dehalococcoidia
Description: tRNA-Lys
Rfam family: tRNA
About the family: Transfer RNA (tRNA) molecules are approximately 80 nucleotides in length. Their secondary structure includes four short double-helical elements and three loops (D, anti-codon, and T loops).
Source: RNAcentral